GUGUCAGCAGCCGCGGUAACACGUAGGAUCCGAGCGUUAUCCGAAUUUACUGGGCGUAAAGCGCGUGCAGGCGGUUUGAUAAGUUGGAUGUGAAAGCUCCCGGCUCAACUGGGAGAGGCCGUUCAAAACUAUCAGACUUGAGGGUGGUAGAGGGAAGUGGAAUUCCCGGUGUAGUAGUGAAAUGCGUAGAUAUCGGGAGGAACACCAGUGGCGAAAGCGGCUUCCUAGACCAUUCCUGACGCUCAGACGCGAAAGCUAGGGGAGCGAACGGGAUUAGAUACCCCAGUAGUCC
Molecule: ribosomal RNA, 292 nt
Filed under: uncultured bacterium
Lineage: Bacteria
Description: partial 16S ribosomal RNA
Rfam family: Bacterial small subunit ribosomal RNA
Source: RNAcentral